Ruditapes philippinarum (Manila clam) is the source of this 257-nucleotide long non-coding RNA. RefSeq lists it as uncharacterized. The record is from RefSeq and is a predicted model, not a curated record. Lineage: Eukaryota; Metazoa; Mollusca; Bivalvia; Venerida; Veneridae. The transcript is spliced from 4 exons.
CAACAAUCAGAACUAUAUCACUAAAGCCUGGUUGAUUACAUUUAAACAGCUUUGUGUGUUUCAAACAAAAAUGGCAAUCAAAGGUUCGGGUGGAAAAACAGUAUGUGUAACCACUGAUAACGGCAAAACAUGGAUUGACCUAGUCACAUUUUCAAAAAGAAAUAAAGAUUCCGACGAGUAUCUGUUUUUUGAACGUCAGCUGAAAUUGUUCGGUUACCUUGCAAAAGGGCAGAAUGAAAACUCCAUUUCUGUUAUCA